AACUCUAAUAAGAGUGUUUUAUUCAAGCUUAUGGUUAAUCAUUGCUGAUUGCCAUGAAAAUUGUACUCUAUACAUCUUGCAUGUAUAAGUCAGGUAUGAAAGGCUAAUCACCUUCAGUACCAGUUGGUUCAGAAAUGUUUGUUCAUGUUUAAAACUUGUUCAGUCAAAAGUUUGUUCGUGCUAGUUCUCAAUUAUAUUGAUGAAUUAUAGCCAACUUAUUAUU
RNAcentral lists this long non-coding RNA (223 nucleotides) under Panax ginseng (ginseng). RNAcentral describes it as "long non-coding RNA (PGIN_LNC002598)". The record is from RNAcentral. Lineage: Eukaryota; Viridiplantae; Streptophyta; Magnoliopsida; Apiales; Araliaceae.